AUUAACCGCUAGGGGAGCACAUCGCUGAGACUGAGUUCUGUACGGACUCUGACCCUUACUACUUGAACCGGAUAAUACCGGCGGAAGGAAGCAGGAAUUUACAUAG
Molecule: regulatory RNA element, 106 nt
Organism: Roseburia sp. CAG:100
Lineage: Bacteria; Bacillati; Bacillota; Clostridia; Lachnospirales; Lachnospiraceae
Rfam family: TPP riboswitch aptamer (THI element)
About the family: Vitamin B(1) in its active form thiamin pyrophosphate (TPP) is an essential coenzyme that is synthesised by coupling of pyrimidine and thiazole moieties in bacteria. The previously detected thiamin-regulatory element, thi box was extended, resulting in a new, highly conserved RNA secondary structure, the THI element, which is widely distributed in eubacteria and also occurs in some archaea.
Source: Rfam